Non-coding RNA from Vigna angularis (adzuki bean), 160 nucleotides. Lineage: Eukaryota; Viridiplantae; Streptophyta; Magnoliopsida; Fabales; Fabaceae. The record is from Rfam.
UCACUUACCUGGGUGGGGUGUAUGGACUAUCAAUAAGGUCUAUCGCCUAGGAUUUUGACCUCCAUUGCACAUAGGAGGGGCAUUAUCCUAAGGUCUGUUCUAUGAACAGAGUCUACAUCAAAAUUUGUGGUAGUGGGGCUUGCGUGCGCGCCUCUUCUAA